AACUGUAAAAUAAAUUGUACAUAAGUGAAGAAGACACAUGAUCGGACAUUGCCGAGUCUUUUUUUUUUUAUUAAAAAAGCCAGAAUAUGUGAUGUAAAAUUGUUUCUACAUAAUUUUUAAUGGGAAACUUGCACGAUCCUCAGCAUGCUGCACGCAUGAAGGACCAACAGUGCGGAAAUACCACAAGUACCACUGAUCACUGCGUAACUUGCCAUUCCAGCCAUAACUUGUAGCAUAAACAAUAUCUCGUAAAUUGGCGAUUGUUGUUCGUUUAUAAUAAUGAAAUAACUGGGACAAGGUAACGGUCUAAUAGUAAUAUUGUCAGCAGUAAUGAUGGUUCCCUUCAGAAGGGGAAGGAUCGUCCGAUAGCAUAAACCGCCGCCAUACAUAGUGAACGCAGCGAUCAAGACAACCCUCCUUCCGAUCUUCAUUUUCGAGCGAAAAAUCAAUCGCUCUUCUUCCGUGGCUUGUAUCCAAUCAUGUCUGAUCGCGUGUAAUCCUUCUUGGAUCUCUUUUCUUCGCCAAAGAAUAAUGAAACACGUACAUCAAAGUUGGAAUCAUUAUCAGAAAAAAAAGGAAAUAUGUGAAUAUAUUCCCCAAUCUUUGGAGUACUUUUAAAAAGAAAGAGAUAUAUUUUCCAUGAUUGAAUGCGUCGAUGUGACUGGUCACGCGCAUAUAGCAAAACUGGAAUUCGGCUUGGUAUUGAAACAUUGCGCUUGCGUAUACGGACUCAACAUUGAAUUCAUAUCAUUGAAACUAAUUUAUCGAAGAAUAGAAAAUUGGUUGAAAUUACCCGUUUCAACUUUCCGCAAAUGGCGCAAGUUAUUCCAUGGACAAAAGCAGAUUUCGUGAAAUUGCAGAAAAUUGAGAUACGUAUUUAGAAAUCUGACGAUAUCAUAUUUGCAGUGGUUUGAAGUUUUCAAUAAACGUUGUUUGUAAAGUUUGUGCAAUACGAACAGUUAUUAUCUAGAUGGUAUCCCAUUGUUGCCUUUAUGAUCUGGAAAAUAAAAUUAGAACCCAGCAGAAUUAACUUAAUAUAAAAAAUGGAGAAAUCUAAUUUCUGGAUACGUACGUCGGUGAAAUCGGUACCAAUCUAUCGUGAUGGACAUUCUUCUUACAUUAUUGCCCUGAAUGAAGUUUAAACGUGUGACACUUAUCAUGAAAGUGUGCAAAAUGUAACAAAGCACAUAUACUUCAUCAAUGAGAAUUUGACCAACGUAACACAUCGUGAAAGUGACACCGAAUACAGAUGCUUCUAACAAAAGAUAGAUUAUCGCAGCUGUGGAAUCGCUAUCUUCCCAUUCCUGAAACAUUACCAAUGACGUGUUACGGAUCAUUUAAAAAAGGAAAAAAAAAAAUUCUAUCUUUAAAAGAAGCUUUUGUUCAUACCCUGAUAGCACAGUAUCCAAUCACGCAUCCUAUGCCUGUCUCAUCAAUGAUCUCGAGCAGAAAAAGAUACGUGGUAAUGUGUUCAACAUCAUUUAAAAAUCUAAAAUCAACUUCCAGUUACAGUACACAUAAUCUUUUAAACUACAUUAAAAUAUCAACUUUUCUUUUUUCGUUUUCACUCACUGUUUGAUCUUCGUCUGAUAACGAACAAUAUCCGUGAUUUUCAUAUGUACAGCACUCUCGUUAAUAUCCGGCUGCUUCGUAAGCUCGUUUAUCUUUUUCACUAAAAUACGCAACAAACUGCUUGCAUGCAAGCAAAGCAUGGCGCACAUACUAGUCGUACCGCACAUAAUUGUAUAACUAAAUAGUCCACCGAUGACUUGCAAUAUGAAAACUAUCUCGUAAUUCGGAGUAAUUUGUUCAUUAAAAAAUAUGUAAUAACCGGGACACGGUAGCAAUCUAAUAGUCGUGUUAUCCGGCAAAAGUAUUCUACCUUUCGAAAGAGGAAUAAAUGUUCGAUAACCCAAACCUGCACUGUACAUAAUGAUCGCUACCACUGACAUCAGUCUGUGCCCGAUACUCGCUUUGCUACGAAAUAUCAAGCGAUCCUCUUCCGAGAUAUUCGUGCAAUCUUUCUUCAUCUCGUUUAACAAGUAACAUAAUUUCUUCGCCGAUCGUAGUACCAACGAGUAUCUGCACAAUUGCAGAUAACCGUUUAUCAACGGUAUCAAUAUCUUCACCUUUUUCCUGCUGUCUUUCUCUUUCAAAAAAAAAUGCAGAAUGCCUGGUAUCAGUAUAACCAGUUGCACCGAAUAACACAUAAAAAUUAAAAUGCAGUUUCGAGUUCUCGAAAAAAUGGAAGAUGUGGCGCGAUUUGGCCAUGCGCCCAAUUUUCCCAGAAGCAUAUACGCGAACCAUAUGCUGUGUCUCAUGUCAUUUUCCGCGUUCCCUAUUCGUGACAUUUUUUUAAUGAUCGGUCGAACGAAUGAUAGGUUGAACGUAACUCCACUGCGCAUCGUAACUGGAAAUGGCGAUGAUUUCCGAGACUUCAUUGCGCUUGCGUGUUUAAAAAUUUAAAUAUCCGCGAAUUCAACCGUCGAAUUGUUACCGUGAAACGAUUUUUUCACAUGUGGAUUGUGGAAUAGGGUUUUGAAUUUUUACAAAAGGAUAAGAAAAUUGAACGAAAUUACCUGUUUGAACUUUCCUCAAAGAGCAUAGGUUUUUCGAUGAAUAAACGAUAUUGUGUAUCGGAAGAGUAGAAUUUUUUUUUUCUUUUGAUAUAUUGAUAUACCGUUGAUAUCUUUGAUCGUUGAAGAAAUGAUAUUUGUUAUGAUAAUGUUCGAAGAAAUGGAAUUGUGUGUUAUUUUCAGAAGAGAAUUGAAUUGAAUUGAGUGUUUGAAAAUCUGACGACUUCGAGUUUGCAAUGAUUUGUAGUUUCUACCAGACGUUUUUCACUGUCCAUAAAGUUUACACGGGUUACGAACGGUUAUUACAGUGAUAGUAAGUAAAGGGGAACUCUUGUGUUUCAAUUAUUAAAAUUCUACGUAAAACGGGGGCAGUAACAUCGAUUUUUAAAAUUAUAUAUUAAAAAUAUAAAAUAGAAUUAUGCUAUACUUAAUAUAAAAACUUUGACUUUUUUAAAUGAACGUGAUUUGGAAGACAUAUUUUAUCAGUGCUAUGGAUAAAAUUAAGCACGAAAUUAAAAGAAAAAAAAAUUACAGAUUGUGUAUGCUGUUUACAAGGAAAUUUUUAUGUAAAAAUCUUACUUAUGUAAUGUAAUACUUCAUAUCUUUUAAAAGAAAUUUUUAUCGAUUUCAAAGUGGACAAGAAUGGCUAUUACUGAUGUUUCAACAGAUAUUUGACUAUUUCAAAAAAUAUGAUAACUUAGGUAACUUUUUGCAACAUGUUCAAGUAUCCUACAGUUGUUUUUAUGAUCUGAAAUAUAAAAUCAGAUCCAUGUACGAGAUAUGUGAAACACAAUUUAAUAUUUUGAUACAUACGUCGGUAAAAGUGGCUAAAGAUAUGUCUACAACUUUUCCUGCUGGAACCGAUACCAGUCGAGCGUGAUAGACAUCUGUCUAACAUUAUUGCCCUGACAAAAAUAAUGGUUAAAACAAAAUUUCUGUGAUAACCAUGAGAGCAUAAAAAGCAUUGUAUAUAAAAGCAUAGUAUACUUCGUCAAUGAGAGUUUGACCGACAUAACACAUUAUGAAUGUGCAACUGAUGACAGAUGCUUGCAUCAUAAGGUGAAUUAUCAUAGCUGCUGCGUUACUAUCUUCCCAUUCCUAAAAUUACAAGUAUUAUCACUACAAGUUCAUAGUAUAAACAGAUGAUCAUUUUAUACCGUGACAACGUUAUAUCCAAUCACGCACCCUAUACUCGUUUCGACCAUGAUCUCGAGAAGAAAAAGUUGCAGGUAACCGUUCACCUGUGGUAUCAUCAUUUUCAUCUUUUUCCUCCCGUUCUUCUCUUUCAAAAAUACGUGCAAAAAUCCUGGAACCAAUACUAUUAAUUGCAACGUGUAACAGGUAAAUAUCAAGUACCAAUUGAAAAUCUUUGAAAGUGUGGAAGAUGAGACGCGGUUUGGCCAUGCGCCCAGUAUUCUCAGAAGCGGAUACGCGAACCACACGGAGACUUCGUUGCGCUUGCGUGUUAUAAAGAUUUAAAUAUCCACAAAUAUGAAACGAUUUUAAUGCAUGUGGGGAAUAAUGUUUUGAAUUUUUACAAAAGGAUAAGAAAAUUGGAUGAAAUUACCGCUGCUCGCGAUGCUUGCUCUCUAUGAGAAGUUUUAUAGUAUCUGCUAUUUCUUUUUUUGAAAGCGGUUUUAGAAAAGUUCACCAAGAAUAGCAUACGUAUAAUUAUAUGAAUAUAUAUAUAAAUUUUAUGAAAAACAUUAAAAUAUUGUGAACACACGUACUUGUAGUGAAAUUAAACAUGUAAACUUUCACGGAUUUACGAUUUUCCAGAAAAAUGUUUUUAUUGGUUGCAAAGUUUACACGGGAACCAUAAUUACAGGAAUGGUAAAUAAAUGUGAAAGGGGGUUUUAUACGCGAGGGGAACAAGUUACACACAAAGUUCUGUAAAAAAAAUAGAAGAAAAUAAAAAUGACAAUAAUAUGAAAAUUAUCUUUUAAUCUCAGUCGACUGCUUCCUGUUGUAUCGCACGUAUUUGUUUCAAAAAGUGAGCUCAAGCAACUGUUCGUAAUAUGUUCAAAUAUCCUACAGAUGUCUUUACGAUCUGGAAAAUAUAAUUAGAAUAAUGUAUGAAAAGGAAAUUUAAUUUUUCUUAUAAAUACAUACAUCGGUAAACGUGAUCAACGAUAUAUCUACAAUUUUGCCAGCUGUGACUUUUAUUGGAUAAUUCGACAUAAUAAUAACCAGUAUCAAGCCACGCGCCUCAUUCACAGGAUCAUUUACGGUGAUAAGGCAGUAUCCGAUCACGCAAGCUCCGCACACGUAUUCGAGAAUUUCGCAAAAAUAAAGAUAAGACGUGAGUUGUUCGACGUGAUUUAAAAAGCUGAAACGAGAUUUCGUGCACUCCAUAAAUAUGAAUACAAUCUAUUCCAUAAUAUAAAAUAUAUAUCCAUGUAUCAUAUUUUUACUCACUCUAUAAUCUUCAUCUGGUACUCAACAAUAUCCGCGAGUUUCUUACGCACAACCGUCUCGCAUUCAUCAGACUGACAGGAAGAUGUACAAAAUCCCUGGGAUCAACACCAUCAAUUGAAUGAGAUAACAGAUAAAUAUUAAACACCAUUUCAGAAUUGUUGAUAAAACGGAGGAUGGCGAGGAUUUUGGCCAGGCGCCUAAUAUUUUCAAAAGCGGAUACACGAGUUUCAAGGAGUAAGAAUACUGCAUCGUUUACAAAGUUUGCUGUUACCAUCUCUGUCGUGAUAAAUAUAAAAUAAAUACAAAAGAAACUCACUCUAUGAUCCUGUUCUGAUAGUCGACAAUAUUGGCGAUCUUCUGUUGCACAACUUUUUCGUCCUUGUCAUUCGCAAGUUCCAUCACUUUGUUCGUCAGGAUCUUCAACAAACCGCACAUAUGCAAGCACAGCAUCAAACAAAUACUCUUGGUGCCGCAUACAGCUGUAUAGAUGACAAAUCCGCCGAGAACUUGGAGCGUGAAAAUUAUCUCGUAGUUCGGGCUAACUUGCUCGUCCAAGGAGCCAAAGUAACCCGGGCAGGGUAACAAUCUUAUAGUCACGUUGUUGGGUAAAACGAUUUUGCCUUUCGAAAGUGGAAGAAUCGCUCUGUAAAAAAAACCUCCACCGUACAUGGUGACCACCACUACCAUCGUCAGCUUGUGCUCGAUGGACGCCCUCGUGCUGAAAAUUUGUCGAUUCUCCUCCGUGGCUGUCAUCCAAUCCUUCCUUAUCUCGUCCAAAAUAUGUACAGAAGGCCUGGGACCAUGAAUAUCAGUGUGAGCAAAUACGAGAGAAAAAUUAUAACGUAAUUUGAUAUUUUGGCGAACGCGGAUGAUGAGACGCUCAAUGGCCAGUAGCCGAGCAUUCUCGAGAACGGAUAUGCAAACCAAAAGGAUCAUUCAACCAUACCAUGAUAAGGCAAUAUUUACGAUCACAACAUUGUAUACGUAUUCAAGAAUCUCGCAAACAUAAAACGUAAAAUAAAAAGCUGAAAUCAAUCGUUGUUGUCACUCCAUUAAUAUAAAUAUAAUCAUUUUCUAUAUAAAAUAUUCAUAUACGAUAUAUCAAAUUUUUAAUCAAUUAUUUGUACUCACUCUACGAUCUUCAUCUGAUAUUCGACAAUAUCUGCGAACUUCUUAUAUAUAUCUCACUUCCAUCAAAUGAACUGUUACUUUUAUUGGAUAAUGUGACAUAAGGAUCAGUAAUAUCAAGCUGCGCGCCUUGUUUACAGAAGUUGACCGACGUAGCAUACCGAGAAGGUGCCAAUGACGCAAGUUACUUGGAAGACAACAUAAAUCACCAUAGCCAUAGCAUUGCUGUCUUCCCAUUCCUAAAAUGCAACUGAUAAUAUAUCAUUGAAAUCAUCGUUAUUUUCAAUAUAACGCAUCGAAUCAUUAUAUAUACCAUGAUUAUGCAAUAACCAAUUAUACAUAUAAUCAAUACUUGGAUAACAACUUCGAUAAGAUAAAUAGCGGGUACGAAUUGAUCAAGUUGAUUCAAAAAUCUGAAAUGAAGAUUUUCGUGGAUUAAAUUUUCUAAUUCGUACAAUUAAUCUCUGUAUUCUUUUUCGAUACUCGCUCUUUGAUCCUCGUCUGAUAUUCAACGAUGUGCACGAUCUUCUCCUGCACAAUUUGUUCAUCACUGUCAUUCGUAAGAUCUACUAUCUUGUUCGUCAAGAUCUUCAGCAAACCGCACAUAUGCAAACACAGCAUCAAACAAGCACUCUUGGUGCCGCAUAAAACUGUGUAAAUGAUAAAUCCUCCGAGAACUUGUAGCGUGAAAAUUAUCUCGUAAUUGGGCGUAGCUUGCUCGUUCAAGGAACCAAAGUAACUCGGACAAGAACGUAUAGAAGGCCUGGGAUCAAGACUAUCAAUUGCAAUAAAUAUAGGAUAAAAAUUGUGAAGGAAUUAAAAAAUUUGGUAACCGCGGAAGGAGAGACCAGUGGCCAAUAACCGAGCGUUCUUGAGAACGGAUAUGCAAACCAGAAGGAUUCACCUUUUCAGUAAAUAAAUAAAUUUUUUUAUGAUUCUGAAAUAUAAUUCUAAAAUUUUGAAUUUAAUAUUUUAAAAUAUUUAAGAAAUAUUUUAUAUGAUAAUUAUAAAAGAAUUAAAUAUUUAUUUUAUUUCUUUAAUUGUAAUUAGAAGUUACGAUAAUAUUUUUGUAAUUUUCAAGAAAAGUUUUUGCAAAGUUUAUAGUUGAUGGGAUUGAUGAUUACCACUUUAGUGAGCAGAUGAAAUGGUAGUAUUCAUAGAGGGCAAUUUUCCACAUAAUUAUGUUCAAUUAUUGAAAUUUCACAUAAGAUGGAAAAUAAUGUAAGAAUGGUUUUAAAGCUCUAAACGAUUGUGGAAACCAUAAUGUGUUUGAGAGCACAAUAUUAUUUUCAAUUAAAUAUUGUGUAUCAUAUGCGUCGUUCUAUAAAUAAUUUGUUGAUGCGUUGAUGGCUAUAGCGGAACAUCAUAGCUAUCGUGAAAUAUAGGAAAGGAUAAUUCUAGUCAACGAUAUUGAUGAUAUCAUAUCGAUAGAGCUAUUCCAGAAGCACACAGAAAAACGAAUCGUAUCUCCGAAUAAAGAUCAUAUAUCAUAUAAUAAAAUAUUGAAUAUGUAAAUUAAAUAAAUUAAAAGUGAAGAAUAAGUUUUCAAAUUUUUGCAUAAUUUGUUCAAUAUAUCCAGAUAUCAAACAUUUGAAAACAGAUUACCAUAAUGGAACAUUUAAUUGUGAUGUGAUAAGGCAAUGUCUAAACUGCAUCUAAGAAUCAUAUUUCAAUCAUCAUGCACUCCAUUGAUAUAAUAAUUUCUAAUUUAUAAACAAUCUUUUUCGGGAUAAAAUAUACAUACAACAUAUACUGACUUUCUACUCACUCUGUAAUCUUCAUUUGAUAUUCAAUAAUGUCCGCAAGCUUCAUAAGUACAAGUCUUGUCUCAAUUUUAUCAGAUUGGUAAAACUUUUGUUAAAUAUCCUAUCAAACUAAUGUUUGAUAUUAUAUUUUUAUCCAUGAGCAAGAGAUAAUUUACUUCAUCAAGUAGAAGUUGGCCGACGUAGCAUACCGAAAAGGUGCCAAUUAAGCAAGUUAGUUGGACGAUAACAUAAGUAAGUAUACCCAUACCAUUACUUUCUUCCCAUUCCUAAAAUAUAACUAACAAUAUGUUAUCGAAAUUUACAUUAUUUUUUAUAUGUAACGUUCCUACCAUGAUUAUACAGUAACCAAUGAUACACAUAAUAAGUACUUGGAUAAAAACUUCGAUAAGAUAAAUAGCGGGUAUGAAUUGAUCAAGUUGAUUCAAAAAUCUGAAAGGAAGACUUUCGUAGAUCAAAUUACACUUUCUAAUUCGUACAAUUAAUAACUAUACAUCUUCCUUUCUUCUUUUCGAUACUCACUCUUUGAUCCUUAUCUGAUUCUCCACGAUGUACACGAUCUUCUCCUGCACAAUUUGUUCGUCAUUGUCAUUCGUCAGUUCCAUCACUUUGUUCGUCAGGAUCUUUAACAAACCGCACAUAUGCAUACACAGCAUCAAACAAAUACUCUUGGUGCUGCAUACAACUGUAUAAAUGACAAAUCCGCCGAAAACUUGCAGGAUGAAUAUUAUCUCGUAGUUCGGGCUAACUUGCUCGUCCAAGGAACCAAAGUAACCCGGACAAGGUAACAAUCUUAUAGUCAUAUUGUUCGAAACGAUUUUGCCUUUCGAAAAUGGAAGAAUCAUUCUGUAGAAAAAACCUCCACUGUAAACAGUGACCGCUAUUAUCGUCGUCAGCUUAUGCUCAAUGGAUGCCGUCGUGCUGAAAAUUUGUCGAUUCUCCUCCGUGGCUAUCGACCAAUCCUUCCUUAUCUCGUCCAAUAAUUUGCCAAUUUGCUUCAUUUGUCGUAAUAAAAUCGUGUAUUUAAUCAUUUGCACGAUACUGUUGAGAUGUGGCAUCAGCAAUUUGAUCUUCUUCUUUGGGUUUUUCUCUUUCAGAAAUACGUACAGAAGGCCUGGGAUCACGACUAUCAUUUGCAAUAAAUACGAGAUAAAAAUUAUGAAGGAAUUUAAAAUUUUGGAAAACGCGGAAGAAGUGACGCUCAGUGGCCAAUGACCAAGCAUUUUCGAGAACGGAUAUGCAAACCAAAAGGUAUGCUUCAACCCUUCUUUCGCGUUUCUAAUUUGGACCAUUUUUCAGGAUGAAAGCUUGUUCGUGACUGAUCAUGUUGUAUAUGGUAAUAUCGCCCUUUGAAGAACAUCAUUGCGCUUGCGUACAUGAAAUGUUAAAUACGUUUGCAAAUUGAGAAAUAAAUCGCUGCUAUUGAAACAAUUUUAUUUUUACGAAACUAUGAUAAAAUUGAUUGAAAUUAUAUGUAUGGAUUAUGCUUGAAUUGUACGAAAACUUUUGCGAAGUUUAUAGUUGAUGGGAUUGAUGAUUGCCAUUGUAGUAAGUAGAUAUGAAAGCCCACUAUUCAUGGGGGACAAGUUUUCUACAUAAUUAUGGUCAAUUAUUGAAAUUUCACAUAAAAUAGAAAAUAAUAUAAAAAUGAUUUCAAAUCUCUCAGUAUGAUUUUAUAGCAAAGUGUAUGUGCUUGAAUACUUGUGCAUAUUAUUUUCAAUUACUAUGUAUCCUGUUCAUCAAUUUAAUAAAUAUAAUUUAUUAAUACUCUUAGAAACAUUGAUAACUAUAGCGAAGCAUCGUGAAAUGCGACAAAAAAAUGACAGUUCUAUUCAAUCGUAUCGAUAAUAUCAUUUUAAUAAAAUUGUUUCUAGAACACGCAGAAGAACAAGUAUAUCUCUCUUCGAAUAAAGACACUAUCAUAUAAAUAAAAAUAAAUAAAAAAUAAAAAUUAUUUUCUAAUAAAAAAAACUACCAAAACUGUAUUAUUAUUAUUUUUAUUAUUAUUUUCUUAAAAUAUAAUUAAUAUUAUAGAAUAACUAUCUUGUAAUUAACGUUUUAGGAAUAUUCAACUAAAAUGUGUGAAUGAAGAAUAUUGAAAUAUAAGACAAUGUCUAAAGUGCAUACACAUAUUCUUGCGAAAAUAAAGAUAAAAUAUAAAAUAUCCAUACAUAACGUACAUCGAAUUUCUACUCACCUUUUAAUCUUCUGAUGUUCAACAGUAUUCAUAAUCUUUGCGGAUUCAAUUAUCUCUUUCACUGAAAUAGAUACAGAAGGCCUGGGACCAAGACUAUCAAUGAGAGCAAGUACGAGAUAAAAAUUAUAAAGGAAUUAAAAAUUUUGGAGAACGUGGAAGAUGGGAUGUUCAGUGGCCAGCAACCGACCAUUUUCGAGAGCGGAUAUGCAAAGCAAAGGAAAAGUUUUGCGAAGUUUAUAAUCGAUAGAAUGAAUGAUGACCAUUGUGGAGAGCAAAUAUGAAAAUAUUCAUGGGGGAGAAGUUUUCUAUAAUUAUGGGCCAAUUAUUGAAAUUCUAUAUAAAAGGAGAAUUUUCAUAAUUUCUACAUUAAAAGAAAAAUAAUGUAUAAACGAUUUUAAAAUUCUCUGUACGAUUUCAUAUCAUGAUGAAUAUGUACUUGAAUAUAUGCUUAAGAACACGUGUCAUAUUAUCUUCAAUCAACUGUAGUAUAUCAUGUAUUUCAUUUUAUAAAAAAUAUUAUUUGUCGAUAUUGAUAGCAGUACAAAACGUGACGGCCACCGUGAAAUAUGAUAAAGAAUAUAAUAUAAUAUCUUCAUAUAAAUAAAAUCAAACUGUAAAUAGUUGUAAAAUGAAAAAUGAGUUCCUGGAUUCUCGCAUACUUUAUUCAAUAUAUAUCAAACAUAUUUGGAAACUACAUAAUUUAAUAAAUUAAUAGAUACAUAAAAAUUUGAAAACAUAAAAAAUAAUAUUCUUAAUACUUACGUCGAUGAAAAAUACAUUUAGCAUUUUGACAAUUAUAAAAUUUAUAGGAUAAUUGAACAUAAUGAUCAACGGUAUUAAAUACUGGAUUUUUUUUCCAAAAAAUAAUACCAGUUUAAUAUGAUGUGCGAAAUAAUUGCUGUGAAAAAAAUGUUCAAUACUAAAUUCAUAUUAAAAUAAAUAACGUAGAGAAUAGUUGAGAAAUCCAACAAAAACUUGUAAAAAUAAUUCGAUAUUCUUAAAAAUCACGUAUUAAAUAUAGUAUCUAUAGUAGGAACCAAAAUAUAGUAUCUAUCUUAUAAUAAUAUAUCUUAUAAUCAUGUUAUCUAGUAGAAGAAUUCUUGGUGAGUAUCAGUACUUCUACCUUGGAAAAAUCAUUCAAUAAGCGAUACUAGAACUACAUAUAGCAGUCGUUAUGUCUAUCAUCAUACUGUGACCGAUAUUUGCCUCUGUGGUGAAAAUUCACAGAUUUCUUCAAACAAGUAAUUUUUCUUUAUCUAUAUAUUAUGUUAAAUUCCUUUACAAAAAAUUGAAAUUAUUUGCACUGCAUCUUAAGAAGUUUCAUAAACGCACUUUAAUAUUUUUUCAUAAAUUUCAUCUAUUCAUCACUUAAAAUAAUAUUAUAAUAAUUUUUUAAAAUUAAAGUUAAAACUUUUGAUAAAAAAUAUCUUGUAUGCGAUUAUAAUUUUGAAAGAAUUUAAUAUUUAUAAAUUCUAAAUAAGUUUUUUAACAAUAAUAAUGUUUCUUAUUUUAAUAAUUUUUUAUAUAUAUGGUAUAGUAUAGUAGUAUUUA
Long non-coding RNA from Apis cerana (Asiatic honeybee), 11633 nucleotides. RefSeq lists it as uncharacterized. NCBI's taxonomy places the organism in Eukaryota, Metazoa, Arthropoda, Insecta, Hymenoptera, Apidae. The record is from RefSeq and is a predicted model, not a curated record.